UACGGGGGGGGCAAGCGUUGUUCGGAAUUACUGGGCGUAAAGGGCGCGUAGGCGGCCUGCUAAGUCGGACGUGAAAUCCCUCGGCUCAAUCGGGGAACUGCGUCCGAUACUGGCGAGGCUUGAAUCCGGGAGAGGGAUGUGGAAUUCCAGGUGUAGCGGUGAAAUGCGUAGAUAUCUGGAAGAACACCGGUGGCGAAAGCGCUCUGCUAGGCCGCAACUGACACUGAGGGACGAAAGCUAGGGGAGCGAAUGGG
Molecule: ribosomal RNA, 254 nt
Filed under: uncultured bacterium
Lineage: Bacteria
Description: partial 16S ribosomal RNA
Rfam family: Bacterial small subunit ribosomal RNA
Source: RNAcentral